GAUGAACGCUGGCGGCGUGCCUAAUACAUGCAAGUCGAGCGAACGGACGAGAAGCUUGCUUCUCUGAUGUUAGCGGCGGACGGGUGAGUAACACGUGGAUAACCUACCUAUAAGACUGGGAUAACUUCGGGAAACCGUAGCUAAUACCGGAUAAUAUUUUGAACCGCAUGGUUCAAAAGUGAAAGACGGUCUUGCUGUCACUUAUAGAUGGAUCCGCGCUGCAUUAGCUAGUUGGUAAGGUAACGGCUUACCAAGGCAACGAUGCAUAGCCGACCUGAGAGGGUGAUCGGCUACACUGGAACUGAGACACGGUCCAGACUCCUACGGGAGGCAGCAGUAGGGAAUCUUCCGCAAUGGGCGAAAGCCUGACGGAGCAACGCCGCGUGAGUGAUGAAGGUCUUCGGAUCGUAAAACUCUGUUAUUAGGGAAGAACAUAUGUGUAAGUAACUGUGCACAUCUUGACGGUACCUAAUCAGAAAGCCACGGCUAACUACGUG
This 497-nucleotide ribosomal RNA is filed under the name uncultured bacterium. RNAcentral's name for it is "partial 16S ribosomal RNA". It matches the Rfam family "Bacterial small subunit ribosomal RNA", at positions 28 to 507 of the family's 1533-position model. The record is from RNAcentral.